Populus nigra (black poplar) is the source of this 723-nucleotide long non-coding RNA. RefSeq lists it as uncharacterized. The record is from RefSeq and is a predicted model, not a curated record. The transcript has 2 exons. Lineage: Eukaryota; Viridiplantae; Streptophyta; Magnoliopsida; Malpighiales; Salicaceae.
CCCCAUCGCAUCGGCGCGCGCAGGCAGUUUCGACUUUCGAGAAAACAAGCACUCCUCUCCCUCCCUUCCUCUCGCAGUCGAGGCGGAGACGAUUUCUAAGCUCAUUAACACCACCGCCAACACGGCCGCCGCCAGCACCACCUGUCCUCUCUGUAACAAUUGCGAAUUCGGCACAAGCCACUGAGGCAAUGAUGACGGCUUGCUAAGCCUCGUUUAUAAGUUAGUGGAUAAGAAGCACGAAAUGAAAAACACGAGGUUUUCAAGUCCAUGGCUCAAGGAUUGCAUGUAACAAGAGCAGGAAUUUGUUUCACCAUUUAGAUUUAUAGCGUGACUGGUUCAGUCUUCUUUGACUGCUCAAUUGAGUUUGUUUCCAAACGGCGAACUAUCUAAUUUUUCAACUUCCACAGAGUUAGAGUCGGGCAGCCCAGAGUCCAUGGAUGUUUUCGCAGAGGGAUCUCCAAUGCUUUUGCAUGUUCCGUACUGGAUGGUGGCUAUGGGACAGUGACGAUGUCAUGAGGGUGAUAUUUCUGGGUGGACUGCAUUUGAACCACUACAGCUAUAUAGUCCUUGCUUGUUGCUGGACUGUAGUGACACCACUACAGCUGUUUCAUCUCGGAAAUAACUUCUGCUGAUGGUAUAAGAUGCAGAAAGCCAGAACUUUUGCUGACACUAAGUUCAUCCGCAUGGCCUUCCAUUAAACAGGUUUCUCGCUUUCGUUUUGAA